CUGGGAGCUGCUUAGGGGGUGCUCCCCUGGAAGGUCUUUUGAGCGUGUGAUGACUGGCCUAGGAGUGGUCUAUCAGCUCAGUAACAAGAGUGACACUUAGCUUUGUGUCUGCUUCUCAGUAAAGGCUCAGUUUGUGCCCAAGUCAUUCAGUACCCCAAAGCCUCAAGGUUCCCUGGAGAAGGCUACUGGCAAGAGUGUUGCUAUAUAGCUUGAUCAUGGGGAAUGAAGUCAGCCACAAGAGAUACUGCUGGGCAAAGUCCAGGCAGUUUGAGAAGCUGACUACUGUGCAAGAAAAUACUGGAGCUGAUCUCUCUGUUGCCCAGGCAGCUCUGGGGACUGUGCCAUGGAGCAGUGUGGAACAUCCUCCAAAGGAGAAAUUGCAAGAUACAGGGAUGCAGGACCAGGACACAGGAAAAGCAACUGAAACAGCUUCAUCCUCUCUGCCUGUGGCACAGGUAAUGGUGAGGACUGCAGAGCUGCAAGCCCUUGGUGAGGCCCAGCCCUCUGUGGAGCAGUCAGAGGAGACUGGAGACCAGUCCAGCACAGUAAUGAGCCUGGACACACAAGCUUGUGCUCCAGCUCAGGGAAGCCCUGCAACAGCUCUGCAAACUGCUGGAGAUGCAGGCUCAGCACCUGGUCUGCCUCUGCAGACUGCCACAGGCACAGGAGCUGAGGGUGCAGCAGAUGUGGUGAUUGAGCAGGCAGCACUGAGAAGCAGCUCAGCACUACGCAAGAAGCCAAGGGACAAGCUGUACAAGCCAAGCCCUCUCUGCAGGUGGCUGAAGCAACUCAGAUCCUCAGCAGAAAACACUGAAGAUAAGUCUGAAGCAAUUGCUAGUCAAGAAUGAGGCUUCCUGUGGUCUGCAAAAGGACCAUCAAGUGCCCAGUGUGGUACCCUCAAGCAAAGACUGGAGUAUAUAAAGGCAGGGGGAAGAUGAGGAACACAUAAUAACAGGAAAAGAUUUGUCAUUUGUGAAUUCUGUACUGUGUGGUUCUAGAUGCUUCAUAGCCCUGGGUGGGGUACCCAAGGCCUGCCUCCUGGAAGGGGAGGCUCAGCUCAAGGGGAUAGGAAGGGGAGGCUCAGCAGUCUCUGUUGCCUUAGCAAGCAACCUGGGAGGUUUCUGUUUGUGUCCUUGUUGCCUGCUGCCCACUGGGGAUUUGUAGCAGCUUCCUUUGCGAAGCUCUGCAAAGGUGUCAUCUGCACAUCAUUUCUUUGUCUCCUUAGUGCUUCCUGCCACUGUCAGACUCUCCUUUCCCUUGCUUUUAAUAACUUGUGCUGCCUGAUGGCCCAAGAUAAGUAUUAUCCCACUGAAUAAAUCCAUGACACAAGCA
Molecule: long non-coding RNA, 1332 nt
Organism: Pogoniulus pusillus (Red-fronted tinkerbird)
Lineage: Eukaryota; Metazoa; Chordata; Aves; Piciformes; Lybiidae
Exons: 2
Source: RefSeq, a predicted model, not a curated record